This 1513-nucleotide long non-coding RNA is filed under the name Malus domestica (apple). Its description in RNAcentral is "long non-coding RNA (MDOM_LNC009431)". The record is from RNAcentral. Lineage: Eukaryota; Viridiplantae; Streptophyta; Magnoliopsida; Rosales; Rosaceae.
ACUUGGCAGCACAUGAAGGCGCGUCCGGCCUCCGAACGACACGUGCUUGACAUGCACGGGUCCGUGACGUCGAGUAGAAUGUUUUCGUGUACUUAAACCCUCCGUUUGAGCAAACUAUGGGGGAUUUUCCUAGCCUUUUAGUGUAUGUCCUAAUUAAUUAAUUAGAAAAUUUAUUUCACAUAUAGGUGAGACUUACCCCGAUGAGGUACGAGGACAAACAAGGCUAGGAGGCUACGAUCCAUCGACAUAUCAGUGAGUGGGCAUUUGUUUUUAUAUAUAGAAAACUGCCUUGUACCUGAAGACGGAAUUCGAGAUGAAGGAUCUUAGGAAAACUCAUUUUUACCUUGGCCUGAAGUUCAAGUGUUAUUCUGACGGUACUUUAGUCUACCAGUCGAACUACACCCUGAAGGUGUUACCUUUGAGUAUACAUGUGAUCAUCCAUACGUUAUAUGCAAAUGAGACCCUUGAAGAGUUUAUGGAAUCCGAAGUUCCAUAUCUAAGUUCAACUUUGCGCUUCAACAAAAUUUAGUUUUUCAUCGCAUAAAGCCACCUUACGCGACAAAUAUUCAGUGUUCUAAAAAAAUCGGUCUAGUUUUUAUGUAUGCUUAUUGUGUAUAAAAUGACCAUGUCUGUAAAAAUUGAACCUUUGGCUUAUUUCUAUACAAAAAUUAAAAUUUUCAAUCUGCUUUUUCAUAUUGUGGGAUGAGUGUUUUGUAAAAACUUGACCUUUGGCUCAUAUGUGUAAACCUGAAGAUUUGGAGUUGUUUUAUGUGUUGGUUAUGAAUUUUAGGUGACUAAAUUGGUGGUUUCGUAUAUUAAGUUAAGUUACAAAGUAGAUUUUUCCUUCGUUUUGGAAAAGUGCGUAGCUGAGAUUAUUUUGAAUUUCCCGUUCAUUACAAUAUUGUGAUUUUGAUAAGAGCUUUGUCUGCAUGUUUUUUGUUGAGUAAUGGUUUACUUGGUUAGAAGAAACUCUUUGAGGUUAUGUUAAAAUCUAUUUUGUGGAUGAAUCUAAUUAGUUAAAUUUGUCAAGUUUAUGUUAUGUAAGAAAUUUAAUUGCAAAGUUGAGUCUUUUUUUCUGAGUUAUGUUAAUAAUUCUACCUAAAAUUUUUGUAAAAUCAUGGUUGGGUUUAAGUUAUAUUAUAAAACAUGGAUCAUUCAAGUCUCAGUACAACUGGAUGUUUGUUUACUUGCACAAUUUUUGUGUGCAUAGAAGUUUGUUUCUGCUUCUCAGGUUCUUUGUCCCCGUGUUUAUUAAUUGUGUUUUUCUCUAUUCAUUUGGGUUGUCGCAGUGAUUGAAGAUCUCAGUCAAGGUUCUUUCCCUAUCUUUUCAAGCUAGAUUAGCUAGUGAGUGAUAUGCUCCUUGUACUGGUGCGGUAUCAUUGGUGCUCACUUUGUAUUUUUCCAAUCCCUAUAUAUCUGCUCAACUCUUGGGUCAAUUAUUUGCUAGUAGGAAUGUUUAAUUGCUUGAUCAAUGAUGUCGAUUCAAUUUGAAGAAGAAAUAGGACUUUUGUUC